GAAACUCAAAGGAAUUGACGGGGACCCGCACAAGCAGCGGAGCGUGUGGUUUAAUUCGUUGCUACACGAAGAACCUUACCUGGGUUUGACAUAUAGGUUGUAGGGAACUGAAAGGGACCGACCCUUCGGGGAGCCUAUACAGGUGUUGCAUGGCUGUCGUCAGCUCGUGUCGUGAGAUGUUCGGUUAAGUCCGCUAACGAGCGCAACCCUCGUCGUAUGUUAUAUGUGUCAUACGAGACUGCCGGUAAAAGCCGGAGGAAGGUGAGGAUGAUGUCAAGUCAGCAUGACCUUUAUAUCCAGGGCUACACACACGCUACAAUGGUCUGUACAAUGGGUAGCCAAGCCGCGAGGCGGAGCCAAUCCUGAAAGCAGGCCUCAGUUCAGAUUGCAGUCUGCAACUCGACUGCAUGAAGCCGGAGUUGCUAGUAACCGCAGGUCAGCAAUACUGCGGUGAAUACGUUCCCGGGUCUU
Molecule: ribosomal RNA, 471 nt
Filed under: uncultured Anaerolineaceae bacterium
Lineage: Bacteria; Bacillati; Chloroflexota; Anaerolineae; Anaerolineales; Anaerolineaceae
Description: bacterial SSU rRNA
Rfam family: Bacterial small subunit ribosomal RNA
Source: RNAcentral